Molecule: ribosomal RNA, 253 nt
Filed under: uncultured microorganism
Description: partial 16S ribosomal RNA
Rfam family: Bacterial small subunit ribosomal RNA
Source: RNAcentral
UACGUAGGGUGCGAGCGUUAAUCGGAUUUACUGGGCGUAAAGCGUGCGCAGGCGGCCCGUUAAGACAGGUGUGAAAUCCCUGGGCUCAACCUAGGAAUUGCGCUUGUGACUGGCGGGCUCGAGUACGGUAGAGGGGGGUGGAAUUCCUGGUGUAGCGGUGAAAUGCGUAGAUAUCGGGAGGAACACCAGUGGCGAAGGCGGCCCCCUGGACAAAGACUGACGCUCAGGCACGAAAGCGUGGGGAGCAAACAGG